AAGAACGAACGCUGGCGGCAUGCCUAACACAUGCAAGUCGAACGAGACCUUCGGGUCUAGUGGCGCACGGGUGCGUAACGCGUGGGAACCUGCCUUUAGGUUCGGAAUAACAGUGAGAAAUUACUGCUAAUACCGGAUGAUGUCUUCGGACCAAAGAUUUAUCGCCUUUAGAUGGGCCCGCGUUGGAUUAGCUAGUUGGUGGGGUAAAGGCCUACCAAGGCGACGAUCCAUAGCUGGUCUGAGAGGAUGAUCAGCCACACUGGGACUGAGACACGGCCCAGACUCCUACGGGAGGCAGCAGUGGGGAAUAUUGGACAAUGGGCGAAAGCCUGAUCCAGCAAUGCCGCGUGAGUGAUGAAGGCCUUAGGGUUGUAAAGCUCUUUUACCCGAGAUGAUAAUGACAGUAUCGGGAGAAUAAGCUCCGGCUAACUCCGUG
RNAcentral lists this ribosomal RNA (436 nucleotides) under uncultured bacterium. RNAcentral's name for it is "bacterial SSU rRNA". It matches the Rfam family "Bacterial small subunit ribosomal RNA", at positions 26 to 507 of the family's 1533-position model. The record is from RNAcentral.